RNAcentral lists this non-coding RNA (264 nucleotides) under Candidatus Brevifilum fermentans. The record is from RNAcentral. Lineage: Bacteria; Bacillati; Chloroflexota; Anaerolineae; Anaerolineales; Anaerolineaceae.
CAAACAGCAAUGACAGAGGAAAGUAGGCUGGCAGAGGCUGACAGGGCGGUGCGGGCUGAGACUGAGACCCACACCCUGCUGAACCCAAUUGAAGUUCACUCUUGAGCUGCCCGGGUGAAGGCAAUUCUUUGCUGGUAGUUUGGGCCGGUAACCCUACCGUUAACCGGGGAUGCCAAUGGCAUCGGAUGCCAUUGGUGGUGAGCGGGCUUUGCAGCGACCCUGCAAUGCCAAAAAAGGUGGUACCGCGGUCAAUCCGUCCUUUUG